GUAGGAUAGAGGCCUACCAUGGUGGUAACGGGUAACGGGGUGUUAGGGCACGACACCGGAGAGGGAGCCCGAGAAACGGCUACCACAUCCAAGGAUGGCAGCAGGCGCGCAAAUUACCCAAUCCCGACACGGGGAGGUAGUGACAAUAAAUAACAAUACGGGGUUCUUUCGGAUCUCGUAAUUGGAAUGAGUACAAUUUAAAUCUCUUAACGAGGAACAAUUGGAGGGCAAGUCUGGUGCCAGCAGCCGCGGUAAUUCCAGCUCCAAUAGCGUAUAUUAAAGUUGUUGCAGUUAAAAAGCUCGUAGUUGAAUUUCGGGAUCAAAUUGUUGGUCGUGCUUCGGUACGCACUGGCAUUAUUGGUUCCUACCUUCUGAAGAACCGCGAUGUCAUUAAUUUGGUGUCGUGGGGAAUCAGGACUGUUACUUUGAAAAAAUUAGAGUGUUUAAAGCAGGCUUACGCUUGAAUACAUUAGCAUGGAAUAAUGAAAUAGGACGUUUGAUUCUAUUUUGUUGGUUUCUAGGAUCGACGUAAUGAUUAAUAGGGAUAGUUGGGGGCAUUAGUAUUCAAUUGUCAGAGGUGAAAUUCUUGGAUUUAUUGAAGACUAACUACUGCGAAAGCAUUUGCCAAGGAUGUUUUCAUUAAUCAAGAACGAAAGUUAGGGGAUCGAAGACGAUCAGAUACCGUCGUAGUCUUAACCAUAAACUAUGCCGACUAGGAAUCAGACGAUGUUAAUUUUUUAAUGACUCGUUUGGCACCUUACGGGAAAC
RNAcentral lists this ribosomal RNA (768 nucleotides) under uncultured Glomus. Its description in RNAcentral is "SSU rRNA". It matches the Rfam family "Eukaryotic small subunit ribosomal RNA", at positions 328 to 1098 of the family's 1831-position model. Lineage: Eukaryota; Fungi; Glomeromycota; Glomeromycetes; Glomerales; Glomeraceae. The record is from RNAcentral.